RNAcentral lists this long non-coding RNA (719 nucleotides) under Mus musculus (house mouse). Lineage: Eukaryota; Metazoa; Chordata; Mammalia; Rodentia; Muridae. The record is from RNAcentral.
CAACAGCUCUGCAGAGCCACCUUUGGAUCAUCAAUCAUCUGCCUUCCCAGGACCACCCAGCAGUGAUGCACGUAGAGCAGAGGUGCAGUGAUGCACGUACAGCAGAGGCGACCCCUUCUCCAUACUUCAGAGACCUCUAGCAUGGUGUUGUGGGACAGCUGGUGUUGUGAAUCAGGCCGUUGCCAAUCAGAGAACGGCUACUUCACAACACCAGGGCCACACUGCACUGCAAGCAGCGAGCAGCAAGCAACAAGCAUCCAGACACCUGAGCACCAGGAUGCCAGCAAGAGCACCUGCCUUCCUUACAGGACUCCUCCCGCUGGCUCCAGACCACUUCUGCUUACUCUCCAGCUCCUGCCCUAUGGUGUAACUGAGGCUGCUGUUUAUUGUAACACAAAGCUCAACUUCAGAAGAAAGCACCAACUCCAGGCAGCAUUAGCUUCCCACAAAGGCAACAGAACAAACAGGUCUCCCAGGGUGAGGGAAGAAGAAGAUGUUCUCAGGCCCUUAGAAAGGCUGAGCACUCUUAAUUGAAUGUCUCCUCAGAGGGUCUGGAAACACACGGAGACUAUAGAACCAGGCCCUUUCCCCCUUUGUUUCCUUUCCUUUUAUUUUUCUAUUACUUUUUUUUUAAGUGUGUAUAUGUGUGGGUGUGAAUGUGUGUGCAUGUGUAUGGGGGAUGUAAAACCAGUUUUAAUUAAACUCUAAUUAUUUAUGUA